GCUUGCACUUGGGGAUUAGUGGCGAACGGGUGAGUAACACGUGAGUAACCUGCCCUGGACUCUGGGAUAACCCCGAGAAAUCGGAGCUAAUACCGGAUAGGACCCUUCACCGCAUGGUGCGGGGUGGAAAGUUUUUCGGUCUGGGAUGGACUCGCGGCCUAUCAGCUUGUUGGUGAGGUAAUGGCUCACCAAGGCGUCGACGGGUAGCCGGCCUGAGAGGGUGACCGGCCACACUGGGACUGAGACACGGCCCAGACUCCUACGGGAGGCAGCAGUGGGGAAUAUUGCACAAUGGGCGAAAGCCUGAUGCAGCAACGCCGCGUGCGGGAUGACGGCCUUCGGGUUGUAAACCGCUUUUAGUAAGGAAGAAGCCGCAAGGUGACGGUACUUGCAGAAAAAGGACCGGCUAACUACGUGCCAGCAGCCGCGGUAAUACGUAGGGUCCGAGCGUUGUCCGGAAUUAUUGGGCGUAAAGAGCUCGUAGGCGGUUUGUCGCGUCUGCUGUGAAAACUAGAGGCUCAACCUCUAGCCUGCAGUGGGUACGGGCA
Molecule: ribosomal RNA, 548 nt
Filed under: Agromyces sp. AM02
Lineage: Bacteria; Bacillati; Actinomycetota; Actinomycetes; Micrococcales; Microbacteriaceae
Description: bacterial SSU rRNA
Rfam family: Bacterial small subunit ribosomal RNA
Source: RNAcentral